CAGUCGCCGCGGUAAAACGAAGGGUGCAAGCGUUACUCGGAAUUACUGGGCGUAAAGUGUGCGUAGGUGGUGGUUUAAGUCCGUUGUGAAAGCCCUGGGCUCAACCUGGGAAUUGCAGUGGAUACUGGGUCACUAGAGUGCGGUAGAGGAUAGUGGAAUUUCCGGUGUAGCAGUGAAAUGCGUAGAGAUCGGAAGGAACAUCUGUGGCGAAGGCGACUAUCUGGGCCAACACUGACACUGAGGCACGAAAGCGUGGGGAGCAAACAGGAUUAGAUACCCCCGUAGUCCCUGUCUCUUAUAC
Molecule: ribosomal RNA, 301 nt
Filed under: uncultured bacterium
Lineage: Bacteria
Description: partial 16S ribosomal RNA
Rfam family: Bacterial small subunit ribosomal RNA
Source: RNAcentral